RNAcentral lists this unclassified non-coding RNA (401 nucleotides) under soil metagenome. Its description in RNAcentral is "partial contains 5.8S ribosomal RNA, internal transcribed spacer 2, and large subunit ribosomal RNA". The stretch from base 1 to 121 matches the Rfam family "5.8S ribosomal RNA", at positions 35 to 154 of the family's 154-position model. The record is from RNAcentral.
GAUGAAGAACGCAGCGAAAUGCGAUAAGUAAUGUGAAUUGCAGAAUUCAGUGAAUCAUCGAAUCUUUGAACGCACCUUGCGCCCUUUGGCUAUUCCGAAGGGCAUGCCUGUUUGAGUAUCGUGAACACCUCAACUCUCAUGGUUUGCCAUGAUGAGCUUGGACUUGGGGGUUUUGCUGGCCUUCGGUCGGCUCCUCUCAAACGGAUCAGCUUUCCAGUGUCUGGUGGCGUCACGGGUGUGAUAACUAUCUACGCCUGUGGUUUUCUGCCAGAUAGCCUUCAGCGAUGGAGGUUCGCUGGGGCUCAUAAAUGUCUCUCUUCAGUGGAGACAGCUUUUUGGACGUUUGAUCUCAAAUCAGGUAGGACUACCCGCUGAACUUAAGCAUAUCAAUAAGCGGAGGA